CAGUCGCCACGGUAAUACGUAGGGUGCAAGCGUUAAUCGGAAUUACUGGGCGUAAAGCGUGCGCAGGCGGUGUUGUAAGGCUGAUGUGAAAUCCCCGGGCUCAACCUGGGAACUGCAUUGGUGACUGCAACGCUGGAGUGCGGCAGAGGGGGAUGGAAUUCCGCGUGUAGCAGUGAAAUGCGUAGAUAUGCGGAGGAACACCGAUGGCGAAGGCAAUCCCCUGGGCCUGCACUGACGCUCAUGCACGAAAGCGUGGGGAGCAAACAGGAUUAGAUACCCCAGUAGUCCCUGUCUCUUAUAC
This 301-nucleotide ribosomal RNA is filed under the name uncultured bacterium. RNAcentral describes it as "partial 16S ribosomal RNA". It matches the Rfam family "Bacterial small subunit ribosomal RNA", at positions 509 to 807 of the family's 1533-position model. The record is from RNAcentral.